CCUACGGGCGGCUGCAGUAGGGAAUCUUCCACAAUGGGCGAAAGCCUGAUGGAGCAACGCCGCGUGGGUGAAGAAGGUCUUCGGAUCGUAAAACCCUGUUGUUAGAGAAGAAAGUGCGUGAGAGUAACUGUUCACGUUUCGACGGUAUCUAACCAGAAAGCCACGGCUAACUACGUGCCAGCAGCCGCGGUAAUACGUAGGUGGCAAGCGUUAUCCGGAUUUAUUGGGCGUAAAGGGAACGCAGGCGGUCUUUUAAGUCUGAUGUGAAAGCCUUCGGCUUAACCGGAGUAGUGCAUUGGAAACUGGGAGACUGGAGUGCAGAAGAGGAGAGUGGAACUCCAUGUGUAGCGGUGAAAUGCGUAGAUAUAUGGAAGAACACCAGUGGCGAAAGCGGCUCUCUGGUCUGUAACUGACGCUGAGGUUCGAAAGCGUGGGUAGCAAACAGGAUUAGAUACCCCGGUAGUC
This 465-nucleotide ribosomal RNA is filed under the name uncultured bacterium. Its description in RNAcentral is "partial 16S ribosomal RNA". It matches the Rfam family "Bacterial small subunit ribosomal RNA", at positions 338 to 795 of the family's 1533-position model. The record is from RNAcentral.